Molecule: ribosomal RNA, 481 nt
Filed under: uncultured bacterium
Lineage: Bacteria
Description: partial 16S ribosomal RNA
Rfam family: Bacterial small subunit ribosomal RNA
Source: RNAcentral
GGGGGGGGGGGGGGGCGGGGGGGGCGGGGGCGGGGCGGCGGGAGGGGUGGGAGUGAUGGGCUUCGGGGCUGAUGAUUUGGUGGCUGAGUGGCGGACGGGGGAGUGCCGCGUGGGUAACCUGCCUUGGACAGGGGGGUAGCAGUUGGAAACGGCUGGUAAUAGCGCAUAAGCGCAAAGCAUCGCAUGCAUCAGUCGGUAAAGCUCCGGUGGUAUAAGAUGGACCCGGGUUGGAUUAGCUGUUUGGUGAGGUAACGGCCCACCAAGGCGACGAUACAUAGCCGACCUGAGAGGGUGACCGGCCACAUUGGGACUGAGACACGGCCCAAACUCCUACGGGAGGCAGCAGUGGGGAAUAUUGCACAAUGGGCGAAAGCCUGAUGCAGCGACGCCGCGUGAGCGAAGAAGUAUUUCGGUAUGUAAAGCUCUAUCAGCAGGGAAGAUAAUGACGGUACCUGACGAAGAAGCACCGGCUAAAUACGUG